This 113-nucleotide ribosomal RNA is filed under the name Macaca fascicularis (crab-eating macaque). Lineage: Eukaryota; Metazoa; Chordata; Mammalia; Primates; Cercopithecidae. The record is from RNAcentral.
GUCUACGGCCAUACCACCCUGAACGCGCCCGAUCUCGUCUGAUCUCGGAAGCUAAGCAGGGUCAGGCCUGGUGGUACUUGGAUGGAGGCACUGGGAAUACCAGGUGCUGGGCU